UGGUCAAGUUAUUAAGGGUGCAGGGCGGAUGCCUUGGCACUAGGAGCCGAUGAAGGACGUGAUAAGCUGCGAUAAGCU
This 78-nucleotide ribosomal RNA is filed under the name Clostridioides difficile. RNAcentral describes it as "partial 23S ribosomal RNA". It matches the Rfam family "Bacterial large subunit ribosomal RNA", at positions 1 to 77 of the family's 2925-position model. Lineage: Bacteria; Bacillati; Bacillota; Clostridia; Peptostreptococcales; Peptostreptococcaceae. The record is from RNAcentral.